CCACCAAGGCUAGUUUCACCAUAACAUUGUCUGAGUGCCCUCUGUAAAACCAUUGAAAGUAAUCGAUGCAGUGGAAUAUGAACUGAUAUAUCCUGCAAACUGACUUUAUAUGAUAUAUUAGGCCAAUCAGACAAACACAGCACCCCGAGAGCUUCCAACUCAAGGUCAUAAUCUCCUUCAAGCAUACUGUCAUCAACACUACCAAAGAUAUAUUAGGCCAAUCAGACAAACUCAGCACCCGGAGAGCUUCCAACUCAAGGUCAUAAUCUCCUUCAAGCAUACUGUCAUCAACACUACCAAAGCCAGUUGUUUCUUGGGCCAAAUUCUGUCCAGAAUCCAAGGCAAUACCACCAUUCGGUGACAGAUAAGAAUAUUGCUUAUUGGAAUCUUCAGUUGAA
Molecule: long non-coding RNA, 398 nt
Filed under: Nicotiana benthamiana
Lineage: Eukaryota; Viridiplantae; Streptophyta; Magnoliopsida; Solanales; Solanaceae
Description: long non-coding RNA (NBEN_LNC012774)
Source: RNAcentral